RNAcentral lists this ribosomal RNA (467 nucleotides) under uncultured bacterium. RNAcentral describes it as "bacterial LSU rRNA". It matches the Rfam family "Bacterial large subunit ribosomal RNA", at positions 1950 to 2410 of the family's 2925-position model. The record is from RNAcentral.
CCUAAGGUAGCGAAAUUCCUUGUCGGGUAAGUUCCGACCUGCACGAAUGGCGUAACGAUCUCCCCCGCUGUCUCUGAUGUGGACUCAGCGAAAUUGAACUGUGUGUCAAGAUGCACACUACCCGCGGUUAGACGGAAAGACCCCAUGCACCUUUACUCUAGCUUCGCACUGGCAUCAGGAUUGUGAUGUGCAGGAUAGGUGGUAGGCUUUGAAGCGGGGACGCAAGUCUUCGUGGAGCCACCCUUGAGAUACCACCCUUCGCACUCUUGAUGUCUAACCGCGGCCCGUUAUCCGGGUCCGGGGACCAUGCGUGGUGGGGAGUUUGACUGGGGCGGUCGCCUCCCAAAUCGUAACGGAGGCGCGCGAUGGUUGGCUCAGAGCGGUCGGAAAUCGCUCGUUGUAGUGCAAUGGCAUAAGCCAGCCUGACUGCAAGUACUGACAAGUUCGAGUCAGAGUCGAAAGACGGC